Molecule: ribosomal RNA, 452 nt
Filed under: uncultured bacterium
Lineage: Bacteria
Description: bacterial SSU rRNA
Rfam family: Bacterial small subunit ribosomal RNA
Source: RNAcentral
AGAGUUUGAUCCUGGCUCAGGACGAACGCUGGCGGCGUGCCUAACACAUGCAAGUCGAACGGGGAGUUAGCAAUAACUCCUAGUGGCGAACGGGUGAGUAACGCGUAGACAACCUACCUUCUAGAUGGGGACAACACCGCGAAAGUGGUGCUAAUACCGAAUGUGGUGACUAGUGUGCAUACACCGGUCAAAAAAGGUGGCCUCUAUUUAUAAGCUACCGCUAGAAGAUGGGUCUGCGUCUGAUUAGCUAGUUGGCGGGGUAACGGCCCACCAAGGCGACGAUCAGUAGCCGGUCUGAGAGGAUGAACGGCCACACUGGGACUGAGACACGGCCCAGACUCCUACGGGAGGCAGCAGUGGGGAAUCUUCCGCAAUGGACGAAAGUCUGACGGAGCAACGCCGCGUGAGUGACGAAGGCCUUCGGGUUGUAAAGCUCUGUUAUCGGGGAAGAA